This is a long non-coding RNA of Vigna angularis (adzuki bean), 422 nucleotides long. RefSeq lists it as uncharacterized. The transcript has 3 exons. Lineage: Eukaryota; Viridiplantae; Streptophyta; Magnoliopsida; Fabales; Fabaceae. The record is from RefSeq and is a predicted model, not a curated record.
AGGAAACAGAGAAGGAAAGGAAAACUGCAAAAGAGGAAAGAGGUGCCGAGAAAGAGAAGGUACUGAUCAUGGAACUUCUGCACAAAGAGUUGGAGAAGGAAAUAUCAAGGAUUCCCAAGGUUAAUCCAUACCCUUUUUUGUGGUAUAGAAUUUUCUUGAUCAACCUUUUUUGUCUUCGUUUGCUAGUUGAAAAAAUUGAUGAAGUGUACUGCGAAUAUCAUUUGCAGAUCCCACCAAAACCAUGAUAGUUAGAAAGUUGAUUAACUGGUUGAAUACUCAAAUUUAUAUAAAGGUCCAAAUUAACUGGUUGAGCACGAUACCACGCCUUACGUAUCUUUUCCAUCAACUUUGUUUUCCUUCAUUCUCCUGUUGCUUUUUAGUGCUGGUUUGGUAUCAUUCUAAGAGCAGGAAGCUCUUCAACC